CCUACGGGAGGCAGCAGUGAGGAAUAUUGGUCAAUGGACGAGAGUCUGAACCAGCCAAGUAGCGUGAAGGAUGACUGCCCUAUGGGUUGUAAACUUCUUUUAUAAAGGAAUAAAACGAGGCACGUGUGCCUUUUUGCAUGUACUUUAUGAAUAAGGAUCGGCUAACUCCGUGCCAGCAGCCGCGGUAAUACGGAGGAUCCGAGCGUUAUCCGGAUUUAUUGGGUUUAAAGGGAGCGUAGAUGGGUUGUUAAGUCAGUUGUGAAAGUUUGCGGCUCAACCCCGUCCGGCCGUUGAAACUGGGGGCCUUGAGUGGGCGAGAAGAAGGCGGAAUGCGUGGUGUAGCGGUGAAAUGCAUAGAUAUCACGCAGAACCCCGAUUGCGAAGGCAGCCUUCCGGCGCCCUACUGACGCUGAGGCACGAAAGUGCGGGGAUCGAACAGGAUUAGAUACCCUAGUAGUC
This 459-nucleotide ribosomal RNA is filed under the name uncultured bacterium. Its description in RNAcentral is "partial 16S ribosomal RNA". It matches the Rfam family "Bacterial small subunit ribosomal RNA", at positions 338 to 795 of the family's 1533-position model. The record is from RNAcentral.